RNAcentral lists this non-coding RNA (25 nucleotides) under Rattus norvegicus (Norway rat). Lineage: Eukaryota; Metazoa; Chordata; Mammalia; Rodentia; Muridae. The record is from RNAcentral.
UAGUUAACCCUCCCCCACCUACUGC